Molecule: ribosomal RNA, 1504 nt
Filed under: Lactiplantibacillus pentosus
Lineage: Bacteria; Bacillati; Bacillota; Bacilli; Lactobacillales; Lactobacillaceae
Description: partial 16S ribosomal RNA
Rfam family: Bacterial small subunit ribosomal RNA
Source: RNAcentral
UGGCUCAGGACGAACGCUGGCGGCGUGCCUAAUACAUGCAAGUCGAACGAACUCUGGUAUUGAUUGGUGCUUGCAUCAUGAUUUACAUUUGAGUGAGUGGCGAACUGGUGAGUAACACGUGGGAAACCUGCCCAGAAGCGGGGGAUAACACCUGGAAACAGAUGCUAAUACCGCAUAACAACUUGGACCGCAUGGUCCGAGUUUGAAAGAUGGCUUCGGCUAUCACUUUUGGAUGGUCCCGCGGCGUAUUAGCUAGAUGGUGGGGUAACGGCUCACCAUGGCAAUGAUACGUAGCCGACCUGAGAGGGUAAUCGGCCACAUUGGGACUGAGACACGGCCCAAACUCCUACGGGAGGCAGCAGUAGGGAAUCUUCCACAAUGGACGAAAGUCUGAUGGAGCAACGCCGCGUGAGUGAAGAAGGGUUUCGGCUCGUAAAACUCUGUUGUUAAAGAAGAACAUAUCUGAGAGUAACUGUUCAGGUAUUGACGGUAUUUAACCAGAAAGCCACGGCUAACUACGUGCCAGCAGCCGCGGUAAUACGUAGGUGGCAAGCGUUGUCCGGAUUUAUUGGGCGUAAAGCGAGCGCAGGCGGUUUUUUAAGUCUGAUGUGAAAGCCUUCGGCUCAACCGAAGAAGUGCAUCGGAAACUGGGAAACUUGAGUGCAGAAGAGGACAGUGGAACUCCAUGUGUAGCGGUGAAAUGCGUAGAUAUAUGGAAGAACACCAGUGGCGAAGGCGGCUGUCUGGUCUGUAACUGACGCUGAGGCUCGAAAGUAUGGGUAGCAAACAGGAUUAGAUACCCUGGUAGUCCAUACCGUAAACGAUGAAUGCUAAGUGUUGGAGGGUUUCCGCCCUUCAGUGCUGCAGCUAACGCAUUAAGCAUUCCGCCUGGGGAGUACGGCCGCAAGGCUGAAACUCAAAGGAAUUGACGGGGGCCCGCACAAGCGGUGGAGCAUGUGGUUUAAUUCGAAGCUACGCGAAGAACCUUACCAGGUCUUGACAUACUAUGCAAAUCUAAGAGAUUAGACGUUCCCUUCGGGGACAUGGAUACAGGUGGUGCAUGGUUGUCGUCAGCUCGUGUCGUGAGAUGUUGGGUUAAGUCCCGCAACGAGCGCAACCCUUAUUAUCAGUUGCCAGCAUUAAGUUGGGCACUCUGGUGAGACUGCCGGUGACAAACCGGAGGAAGGUGGGGAUGACGUCAAAUCAUCAUGCCCCUUAUGACCUGGGCUACACACGUGCUACAAUGGAUGGUACAACGAGUUGCGAACUCGCGAGAGUAAGCUAAUCUCUUAAAGCCAUUCUCAGUUCGGAUUGUAGGCUGCAACUCGCCUACAUGAAGUCGGAAUCGCUAGUAAUCGCGGAUCAGCAUGCCGCGGUGAAUACGUUCCCGGGCCUUGUACACACCGCCCGUCACACCAUGAGAGUUUGUAACACCCAAAGUCGGUGGGGUAACCUUUUAGGAACCAGCCGCCUAAGGUGGGACAGAUGAUUAGGGUGAAGUCGU